GGAUGAACGUUGGCGGCGUGCCUAAUACAUGCAAGUCGAACGAAGACUGUAGUAAUACUGUCUUAGUGGCGAACGGGUGAGUAACGCGUGGGUGACCUGCCCCGAAGUGUGGGAUAACAGUCCGAAAGGAUUGCUAAUACUGCAUAAUAUCCAAGAGAUUAGAUGCUUUUGGAUUAAAGGAGUAAUUCGCUUCGGGAGGGGCCCGCGUCCCAUCAGCUAGUUGGUAAGGUAAUGGCUUACCAAGGCGAUGACGGGUAGGGGACCUGAGAGGGUGGCCCCCCACAAUGGAACUGAAACACGGUCCAUACACCUACGGGUGGCAGCAGUAGGGAAUAUUAGUAAUGGGCGAAAGCCUGAACUAGCAACGCCGCGUGUGCGAAGAAGGCCUUCGGGUCGUAAAGCACUUUUUGAGAGGAUGAGGAAGGACGGUACUCUCAGAAUAAGUCUCGGCUAACUACGUGCCAGCAGCCGCGGUAAGACGAACCAAGCGAACGUUAUUCGGAAUUACUGGGCUUAAAGCGCGUGUAGGCGGAUGACCACGUCAGUCGUUGAAAUCCCCCGGCUCAACCGGGGAACAGGCGCUGAUACGAGUUGUCUGGAGGUGGGUAGGGGAGACUGGAACUUCCGGUGGAGCGGUGAAAUGCGUUGAGAUCGGAAGGAACGCCCGCGGCGAAAGCGAGUCUCUGGACCCAUUCUGACGCUGAGACGCGAAAGCCAGGGGAGUAAACGGGAUUAGAUACCCCGGUAGUCCUGGCUGUAAACAUUGGGCACUGGGUAGUGGAACCGCCGAUGGUUUCACUGCCGCAGGGAAACCGUGAAGUGCCCCGCCUGGGGAGUACGGCCGCAAGGCUAAAACUCAAAGGAAUUGACGGGGGCCCGCACAAGCAGUGGAGCGUGUGGUUUAAUUCGAGGCAACGCGCAGAACCUUACCAGGGUUUGACAUCAUACCGACGUCUGUAGAAACACAGAUUUCCGCUUAGGCGGACGGUAUGACAGGUGUUGCAUGGUUGUCGUCAGCUCGUGUCGUGAGAUGUUGGGUUAAGUCCCGCAACGAGCGCAACCCCUAUCCAAUGUUGCCAACAGGUAAAGCUGGGGACUCAUUGGAGACUGCCGGAGACGAUCUGGAGGAAGGUGGGGAUGAGGUCAAAUCAUCAUGGCCCUUAAGCCCUGGGCUACACACGCGCUACAAUGGCCGGUACAACGGGCAGCGAAGGAGCGAUCCGGAGCGAAUCCCAAAAAGCCGGCCCCAGUUGGAAUCGCAGGCUGCAACUCGCCUGCGUGAACAUGGAAUUGCUAGUAAUCGCGAAUCAGCUACGUCGCGGUGAAUACGUUCCCGGGCCU
This 1341-nucleotide ribosomal RNA is filed under the name uncultured bacterium. RNAcentral's name for it is "bacterial SSU rRNA". It matches the Rfam family "Bacterial small subunit ribosomal RNA", at positions 27 to 1381 of the family's 1533-position model. The record is from RNAcentral.